AAUCAACGGCGUCAUCUAUUAAAAAACGGAGGGAGUAAAUAGCUAUUUUAGUUUGCGAUUUAUAUUUGUCGAGAUUUUGUUAGAUUAGUCUACCGUUCAAACCAUCGUUCCAAGCUUUGAACGCCAUAGAUUCGGCAUACAAGUAGUACUCACAGAAAAAAAAGAGAGAUUGGUGUUAGAAAACUCUGAAACUGCCUUGCACAAUGCAUUAAACGCUGAUAUUACCAGAAGAUUUAUUAUGGAGACAUCGAGACGCGUACUCCAAAUCCACGAUAACAAUCGCAUGGCAUACACCAGCCAACACGGCGUCUUUCACCGAGCAAAACGGUGGCCUACAAUGCCAUGACAACUACUACACCCAUGAGACGGAAGAAGGCGCGCACGAGAAGCAAAGUAGCUUAUCCCAAUCAGAACCAUGCAAUCAAAAUGCUAACGGAGGAGCCAGACAAGCUUCUUGGCGGUGGGAGAACUUGGGGCAGUACUCCUCCCGUUCGGCUUAUCGUGUCCUCUUCUUCGGAAGAACUCGCUUCCAACACGCGCCGAUUUGGAAAUCUUUCGCGCCCCCUCGGUGCCGUUACUUCCUUUGGCUGGUCGCGUUGAACCGUUGUUGGACGGCGGACCACCUCUAAAGUCGUGGAUUGCCUCACCCGGACCGCUGCCCACUCUGUGAUCAAGGUCCCGAAACAAUUGAUCAUCUCUUGGUCGCUUGCCCGGAAUCGCGGCAACUUUGGUGGAUCGCUCUUAGUGUUAUCGGCCAUGCCGAAUGCCUCCCGCUCAAUGAGCGGUCCUUCCACGGCUGGUUGUGUGACAGCCGCAAGAAGUUGACCAAGGAUCAUCGCCGGGGUUUCGACACCAUCGCCACGCUGGCAGCUUGGACAAUUUGGAAGGAAAGAAACAAUCGGGUCUUUAACCAAGAAAGCAGAACCUAACCGGAGAUCACUAGGGCGAUGUCAGGGGAAGCGGACCUUUGGCGGAUGGCUAGGGUAGCCAUUCCGGUCAUGGUAGUUCCUUCAUUUGUUCACGGGUCGCCAAAUUCCUUAGGAGAUUAGGAUUUAUGUUUUUUCCCCCUUCUGUACCCUGUACCCUGUCCCCUUCUCUUUUAAAUUGUUUGGCCCUCCUGUAAUUACAUUUACUCCUCCUUAAUACAAAAAUGGGCGUCUUGCGUAUUCCCGAAAAAA
Molecule: non-coding RNA, 1178 nt
Organism: Oryza sativa Japonica Group (Japanese rice)
Lineage: Eukaryota; Viridiplantae; Streptophyta; Magnoliopsida; Poales; Poaceae
Source: RefSeq, a predicted model, not a curated record